Molecule: long non-coding RNA, 334 nt
Organism: Dermochelys coriacea (leatherback sea turtle)
Lineage: Eukaryota; Metazoa; Chordata; Testudines; Dermochelyidae
Exons: 3
Source: RefSeq, a predicted model, not a curated record
UUUUUCAUCAGUUUUAUCCAUUCCUAGUUAUUAUCCAACUCAUGGUCCCAAACCUGCCCUCCUUCCAUCAGACAUGAAGCAGAUGCCUUUGAAGGAGCUCUGGUGCUUUUUGGAGAUCUCCUCCCACAGCCCAUAGUAUGUGCCUCUAAAGAACUACCAUUGGCAUACAGCAGCUCAUGAAUAAUUGUCUCAAAGAGCUUCAUGGAAGAUCAUAGCCUGUUCAGAUUAAAUAAUUUUCCAGAGGAUCAGAAACUUUGUGACACUCUGUACCUCAAAGUAGCACCCUGGAAUCCCCACAUUCACCUCCGUGAUGUCAUUAAGAUAUGUUUGUACA